This 559-nucleotide ribosomal RNA is filed under the name Fusarium merismoides. RNAcentral's name for it is "eukaryotic LSU rRNA". The stretch from base 195 to 348 matches the Rfam family "5.8S ribosomal RNA". Lineage: Eukaryota; Fungi; Ascomycota; Sordariomycetes; Hypocreales; Nectriaceae. The record is from RNAcentral.
UAACAAGGUCUCCGUUGGUGAACCAGCGGAGGGAUCAUUACCGAGUUUACAACUCCCAAACCCCUGUGAACAUACCUAUCGUUGCUUCGGCGGAUCCGCCCCGGUGCCUUCGGGCCCGGACUCAGGCGCCCGCCGGGGGACCCAAACUCUUGUAUUUCUUUAGUAUCUUCUGAGUAAACAAGCAAAUAAAUUAAAACUUUCAACAACGGAUCUCUUGGUUCUGGCAUCGAUGAAGAACGCAGCGAAAUGCGAUAAGUAAUGUGAAUUGCAGAAUUCCGUGAAUCAUCGAAUCUUUGAACGCACAUUGCGCCCGCCAGUAUUCUGGCGGGCAUGCCUGUUCGAGCGUCAUUUCAACCCUCAAGCCCCCGGGCUUGGUGUUGGGGCUCGGCCCGUCCCAGCGGCGCGCCGUCCCCGAAAUCUAGUGGCGGUCACGCUGUACUCCUCUGCGUAGUAAUCUAACCUCGCAACGGGACAAAGCGCGGCCACGCCGUUAAACCCCCAACUUCUGAAGGUUGACCUCGGAUCAGGUAGGAAUACCCGCUGAACUUAAGCAUAUCAA